This 468-nucleotide ribosomal RNA is filed under the name uncultured bacterium. Its description in RNAcentral is "partial 16S ribosomal RNA". It matches the Rfam family "Bacterial small subunit ribosomal RNA", at positions 28 to 507 of the family's 1533-position model. The record is from RNAcentral.
GACGAACGCUGGCGGCGUGCUUAACACAUGCAAGUCGAACGGAAAGUUCCUGCUUUUGUGGGGUCCUGGAGUGGAGACCGGGUGAGUAACACGUGAGUAACCUGCACUUGCCUUUGGGAUAUCUUCAGGCCACUGGGUCUAAUACCGGCUAAGAGCUCCUGCUGCUUGGUGGGGGUUCGAAAGUUUCGGCGGUUGGGAAUGGACACGCGGCCUAUCAGCUUGUUGGAGGGGUAGUGGCUUACCAAGGCCUUGCCGCGUAGCCGGCCUGCGCGGGUGACCGGCAACAUUGGGCCGGGGAUACGACACAGACUCCUACGGUAGGCAGCAGUGGAGAAUAGUGCACUAUGGGCGGAAGCCUGAUGCAGCAACGCCGCGUGGGGUAUGACGGCCAGCGGGUUGGAAAGCGCAGUCGCCUGUGACGAGGCGUGAGUGACGGUAAUGGGUAAAGAAGCACCGGCUAACUACGUG